RNAcentral lists this ribosomal RNA (253 nucleotides) under uncultured bacterium. Its description in RNAcentral is "partial 16S ribosomal RNA". It matches the Rfam family "Bacterial small subunit ribosomal RNA", at positions 524 to 776 of the family's 1533-position model. The record is from RNAcentral.
UACGUAGGGGGCAAGCGUUGUCCGGAUUUAUUGGGCGUAAGGAGCGUGUAGGCGGCCAUACAGGUCAGCUGUGAAAACUCGAGGCUCAACCUCGAGACGUCGGUUGAAACCGUAUGGCUAGAGUCCGGGAGAGGAGAGUGGAAUUCCCGGUGUAGCGGUGAAAUGCGCAGAUAUCGGGAAGAACACCUAUGGCGAAGGCAGCUCUCUGGGACGGUACUGACGCUGAGACGCGAAAGCGUGGGGAGCAAACAGG